GGUACCCGGCGCCUCCACCACAGCCCUGCGGCGCGAGCAGCAGGGAGCUUGCAGCCCACAAGGUUGCAGGGCUGCGGCGGGGGCGAAAUAGGAUCGACGAGGGUGUAAAAGUUGUUCUUUUGCCCGGCAUGGUUCCGCCGUUAUCGGGCCAUUGCAUAGUUGCCAACGACAACAAUGCUCGGGUUGCUGUCGCCGCGUAAGCGGUGCUGGUUCCCAAACCAAAGCCCUUGCGCUUAGCCGCGUAAGGCGGGGCUCGGAGGCGCCUGGCAACAGAAGCCUCCACU
RNAcentral lists this transfer-messenger RNA (284 nucleotides) under Allobosea sp. Its description in RNAcentral is "partial transfer-messenger RNA". It matches the Rfam family "Alphaproteobacteria transfer-messenger RNA", at positions 100 to 355 of the family's 355-position model. Rfam says of the family: Bacterial tmRNA, also known as 10Sa RNA or SsrA, is named for its dual tRNA and mRNA-like properties. Its role is to liberate the mRNA from a stalled ribosome. To accomplish this part of the tmRNA is used as a reading frame that ends in a translation stop signal. The record is from RNAcentral. Lineage: Bacteria; Pseudomonadati; Pseudomonadota; Alphaproteobacteria; Hyphomicrobiales; Alloboseaceae.